Molecule: ribosomal RNA, 145 nt
Filed under: Hesperocyparis arizonica
Lineage: Eukaryota; Viridiplantae; Streptophyta; Pinopsida; Cupressales; Cupressaceae
Description: 5.8S ribosomal RNA
Rfam family: 5.8S ribosomal RNA
About the family: 5.8S ribosomal RNA (5.8S rRNA) is a component of the large subunit of the eukaryotic ribosome.
Source: RNAcentral
AACGGAUAUCUCGGSUCUCGCCACGAUGAAGAAUGUAGCGAAAUGCGAUACUUAGUGUGAAUUGCAGAAUCCCGUGAAUCAUCAAGUCUUUGAACGCAAGUUGCGCCCGAGGCCUCGGCCAAGGGCACGUAUGAUUGGGGGUCGC